Molecule: ribosomal RNA, 475 nt
Filed under: Cupuladria surinamensis
Lineage: Eukaryota; Metazoa; Bryozoa; Gymnolaemata; Cheilostomatida; Cupuladriidae
Description: partial 16S ribosomal RNA
Rfam family: Bacterial large subunit ribosomal RNA
Source: RNAcentral
UUUAGAAAUCAUAAAAAGUACCGUCUUGCCCAGUGACUGAAAAGUUCAACGGCCGCGUCAUAGUGCUAAGGUGGCAUAAUAACUUGCCUUUUCAUCGAAGGCUAGAAUGAAUGGCAUAACGAAGCUUUACUGUCUCUACUUAUUAAAAUAAAAUUGAUCAAAAAGUGAAAAAGCUUUUAUGCUAAUGAAGGACGAAAAGACCCUAUAGAGCUUUAAUAGAGUAAAUUAAAGAUUUAUAUAACAAAAAUCUUUAAUUUUGCUAUUUUUAUUGGGGCAAUACUUAAAAAUUAAAACACAAACAUUUGUCAUAACAGAACAUAUAAUCCUCAAAGAGAAUAAAUAUAAGUUACCUUAGGGAUAACAGCGUAAUCUUACCAGAGAGACCUAAUCGAAGGAAAGGUUUGCGACCUCGAUGUUGGACUAAGAAAACUUGAAGAUGCAGAAGUCUUUAAAAGCUGGCCUGUUCGGCCAUUAA